RNAcentral lists this long non-coding RNA (67 nucleotides) under Mustela putorius furo (domestic ferret). RNAcentral describes it as "lncRNA (ENSMPUG00000029740.1)". Lineage: Eukaryota; Metazoa; Chordata; Mammalia; Carnivora; Mustelidae. The record is from RNAcentral.
GGGGGACAAUUAUCAAGUUUUGUUUGGUUGAUUUUAAGUAGUUUGUUACCUGGAUACUCAACAAACG